This 72-nucleotide transfer RNA is filed under the name Monostroma nitidum. RNAcentral's name for it is "tRNA-Gln". It matches the Rfam family "tRNA". From Rfam's summary of the family: Transfer RNA (tRNA) molecules are approximately 80 nucleotides in length. Their secondary structure includes four short double-helical elements and three loops (D, anti-codon, and T loops). RNAcentral also lists the same sequence under 1 other name. Lineage: Eukaryota; Viridiplantae; Chlorophyta; Ulvophyceae; Ulvales; Monostromataceae. The record is from RNAcentral.
UGGGGCAUCGUCAAGUGGUAAGACAGCGGUUUUUGGUACCGUCAUUCGGAGGUUCGAAUCCUUCUGUCCCAG